RNAcentral lists this ribosomal RNA (301 nucleotides) under uncultured bacterium. RNAcentral's name for it is "bacterial SSU rRNA". It matches the Rfam family "Bacterial small subunit ribosomal RNA", at positions 28 to 332 of the family's 1533-position model. The record is from RNAcentral.
GACGAACGCUGGCGGCGUGCUUAACACAUGCAAGUCGAGCGGUAAGGCCCUUCGGGGUACACGAGCGGCGAACGGGUGAGUAACACGUGGGUGACCUGCCUCUAGCUCUGGGAUAAGCCUGGGAAACUGGGUCUAAUACCGGAUAUGACUCCACGGCGCAUGUUGUGGGGUGGAAAGCCUUGUGUGGCUAGAGAUGGGCCCGCGGCCUAUCAGCUUGUUGGUGGGGUGAUGGCCUACCAAGGCGACGACGGGUAGCCGGCCUGAGAGGGCGACCGGCCACACUGGGACUGAGACACGGCCC